UUUCCUCAGUAACGGCGAGUGAAGCGGCAACAGCUCAAAUUUGAAAUCUGGCCCCAGGCCCGAGUUGUAAUUUGCAGAGGAUGCUUUUGGUGCGGUGCCUUCCAAGUUCCCUAGAACGGGACGCCAGAGAGGGUGAGAGCCCCGUACAGUUGGACACCAAGCCUUUGUAAAGCUCCUUCGACGAGUCGAGUAGUUUGGGAAUGCUGCUCAAAAUGGGAGGUAUAUUUCUUCUAAAGCUAAAUACCGGCCAGAGACCGAUAGCGCACAAGUAGAGUGAUCGAAAGAUGAAAAGCACUUUGAAAAGAGGGUUAAACAGCACGUGAAAUUGUUAAAAGGGAAGCGCUUGUGACCAGACUUGCGUCCGGUGAAUCACCCAGCUCUCGCGGCUGGGGCACUUCGCCGGCUCAGGCCAGCAUCAGCUCGCUGUCGGGGACAAAAGCUUCAGGAACGUAGCUCUCUUCGGGGAGUGUUAUAGCCUGUUGCACAACACCCUUCGGCGGGCUGAGGUACGCGCUCCGCAAGGAUGCUGGCAUAAUGGUCAUCAGCGACCCG
This 552-nucleotide ribosomal RNA is filed under the name Colletotrichum gloeosporioides. RNAcentral's name for it is "eukaryotic LSU rRNA". It matches the Rfam family "Eukaryotic large subunit ribosomal RNA", at positions 75 to 651 of the family's 3401-position model. The record is from RNAcentral. Lineage: Eukaryota; Fungi; Ascomycota; Sordariomycetes; Glomerellales; Glomerellaceae.